GACGAACGCUGGCGGCGUGCCUAAUACAUGCAAGUAGAACGCUGAAGGAGGAGCUUGCUUCUCUGGAUGAGUUGCGAACGGGUGAGUAACGCGUAGGUAACCUGCCUGGUAGCGGGGGAUAACUAUUGGAAACGAUAGCUAAUACCGCAUAAGAGUAGAUGUUGCAUGACAUUUGCUUAAAAGGUGCAAUUGCAUCACUACCAGAUGGACCUGCGUUGUAUUAGCUAGUUGGUGGGGUAACGGCUCGCCAAGGCGACGAUACAUAGCCGACCUGAGAGGGUGAUCGGCCACACUGGGACUGAGACACGGCCCAGACUCCUACGGGAGGCAGCAGUAGGGAAUCUUCGGCAAUGGACGGAAGUCUGACCGAGCAACGCCGCGUGAGUGAAGAAGGUUUUCGGAUCGUAAAGCUCUGUUGUAAGAGAAGAACGAGUGUGAGAGUGGAAAGUUCACACUGUGACGGUAUCUUACCAGAAAGGGACGGCUAACUACGUG
RNAcentral lists this ribosomal RNA (495 nucleotides) under uncultured bacterium. RNAcentral's name for it is "partial 16S ribosomal RNA". It matches the Rfam family "Bacterial small subunit ribosomal RNA", at positions 28 to 507 of the family's 1533-position model. The record is from RNAcentral.